GGGGGUGAACAGUUUCGACAGGGGAUCGUGUUCUUCAGGGAGCAUGCAGAGGUUGUCAGGCGGCCUCUCAAAAAACCUGGCAAACCAUAAAUGCUGACAACAUCAGCUGGAACGAAAGAGUUUCUGGACCGGUGACGGUUCCGAUGUCUUUCGCUCUUCCUAUCGCUGCUUAAUUGACAGCGACGUUACCGCGCCGACGCCCGUUGAGCGUACGUAACGACAUUUAACGGGCUGCUCUUCCGGGUGCGCUGCCCGCUCGGAGGAUAAGACUCAGGCAGAUAGCCGCGAGGGAUUUUGUUCAUGGAAGACCGCGCCGGCUAACCAAAACAUGAACUGAGCAUGGAGAAUCCUUUAGAGCUCAUGUCCUGGACGAGGGUGCAAUUCCCUCCACCUCCACCA
RNAcentral lists this transfer-messenger RNA (399 nucleotides) under Candidatus Omnitrophota. Its description in RNAcentral is "ZLKRG04 sp018883425 Standard tmRNA". It matches the Rfam family "transfer-messenger RNA". Rfam says of the family: Bacterial tmRNA, also known as 10Sa RNA or SsrA, is named for its dual tRNA and mRNA-like properties. Its role is to liberate the mRNA from a stalled ribosome. Lineage: Bacteria; Pseudomonadati. The record is from RNAcentral. RNAcentral also lists the same sequence under 1 other name.